This is a long non-coding RNA of Sinocyclocheilus grahami, 157 nucleotides long. RefSeq lists it as uncharacterized. The transcript has 3 exons. The record is from RefSeq and is a predicted model, not a curated record. NCBI's taxonomy places the organism in Eukaryota, Metazoa, Chordata, Actinopteri, Cypriniformes, Cyprinidae.
CACUCAAGCAUUUGUUUAAGAGCAACUAAAACUAUUAAUUUAAAUGCGUACAAUCAAAAUUGGCCUUGAAAACAUUCAUUAUGGUUUUGGCGCAGUCUGGAAGCUAUAGGCUGUAUGAUGUAUAAUUUGCAUCUCUGCAUAUUAUCUCUGCUGAAAA